CAAUAGCGUAUAUUAAAGUUGUUGCAGUUAAAAAGCUCGUAGUUGGAUUUCUGGUGGGAGCGAUCGGUCUGGCGCUUAGCGCGAGUACUUGCAUCGUCUCCGGCCAUCCUUGGGGAGAGUCUGUCUGGCAUUAAGUUUUCGGGCAGAGGAUCCUCAUCGUUUACUGUGAAAAAAUUAGAGUGUUCAAAGCAGGCUUAUGCCGUUGAAUAUAUUAGCAUGGAAUAAUAAGAUAGGACUUUGGUACUAUUUUGUUGGUUUGCGCACCAAAGUAAUGAUUAAUAGGGACAGUUGGGGGUAUUCGUAUUCCGUUGUCAGAGGUGAAAUUCUUGGAUUUACGGAAGACGAACUACUGCGAAAGCAUUUACCAAGGAUGUUUUCAUUAA
This 383-nucleotide ribosomal RNA is filed under the name uncultured eukaryote. Its description in RNAcentral is "partial 18S ribosomal RNA". It matches the Rfam family "Eukaryotic small subunit ribosomal RNA", at positions 592 to 976 of the family's 1831-position model. The record is from RNAcentral.